GCAGUCCCGGAACGCGGGAUGCUGGGCGCGCAGCCUCGCCGUCCGCCUCGCCACUCGCCCGCCGCCCCGCGCGUCUGGGAUACUCAGCGUUUCAGAACAGGUGUUUUUGGAAAAAAAUCCACAAUUUGGAUGUGAGAAAGGACAUGAGGAGACCAAAGACCUGGGAUUUUGCUGAUCAGAAUGAAACAAACGUUGAAAGACUUUUCCAAUCUACUGUUGGUGGUGCUCUGUGACUAUGUUCUUGGAGAAGCUGAGUAUCUCCUGUUGGGGGAGCCGGGCCAUGUAGCGCUAAGCAACAGCACAGUGACUGUGGCUUUCCAGUAUUUCGACGGAACCAACGGGACGCUGAGGAAUGUCUCUGUCCUGCUGUUGGAGGCCAACACCAAUCAGACUCUUACCACCAAAUACCUCCUGACCAACCAGUCCCAGGGGACGCUCGAGUUUGAGUGCUUCUACUUCCGGGAGGCUGGCGACUACUGGUUCACGAUGUCUCCAGAGGCGACAAACAGCAGCGCUCCGGCCCCUCGCUGGGAGAGGAGCGCCUUUCUGAAGGUGGAAUGGCCCGACUUCCACGUCCACCUCAACAGGACCUCCAGGGCUGCAGAAGGCACCUUUCAGGUGGGCCUGUUCACCAGUCAGCCGCUGUGCCCGUUCCCUGUGGACAAGCCCGACAUCGUGGUGGAUGUUAUCUUCACCAACAGCCUUCCCGAGGCCAGCACGAGCCAGGGCCAGCCCCUGGAGAUACGAGCCAGCAAGAGGGCAGAGCUCUCGCAAGGCCAGUGGCUGGAGUUUGGCUGCGCACCUGUGGGGCCGGAAGCCUAUGUCACCGUGGUGCUGAAGCUGCUUGGCCGAGACUCGGUCAUUAGCUCCACAGGCCCCAUUGACCUGGCCCAGAAAUUUGGAUACAAACUGGUGAUGGCGCCAGAACUCACGUGUGAGUCCAGGGUGGAGGUGAUGGUGCUGCCCCCGCCAUGCAUCUUCGUCCAGGGGGUCGUCGCCGUCUACAAGGAAGCCCCCAGACGCCCUGGGGAAGGGACCCCUCGCCUGGCUGAAAACAGCCUGAGCCUGGGAGAGAGGAGAACAGUAUUCAACUGCACUUUGUUUGAUGUGGGGAGGCACAAAUACUGCUUUGACUUUGGCGUUUCAAGCAGAAGCCAGUUUUCUGCAAAGGAGAAGGAGUGCAUGCUAAUUCAGAGAACUAUAGCUUUCCAGACAUCCAGCCCGUCUCCUCUCCAGCCCCAGGGUCCGGCGAAGUCCAACAACAUCGUCACGGUCACGGGCAUAUCCCUGUGCCUGUUCAUCAUUGUGGCCACCGUGCUCAUCACGCUGUGGCGGAAGCUGGGCCGCUCCCCCACGUGCAGCACCCCCGCCCGGCCCAACUCCCUCCACGGUCCCGGCUGCCGGAAGAACUCGGACGAGGAGAACAUCUGCGAGCUGGGCGAGCCGCGCGGCAGCUUCUCGGACGCGGGGGACGGGCCGGCGGGGAGCCCCGGGAGCCCCGGGGACCUGGGCAUCCCGCUGACCUACCGGCGGAGCGCGCCGGCGGCCCCGGACGAGGACGCCUCCGGCAGCGAGAGCUUCCAGUCCACCGCCCAGAAGAUCAUCCCGCCCCUGUUCAGCUACCGCCUGGCCCAGCAGCAGCUGAAGGAGAUGAAGAAGAAAGGCCUGACGGAGACCACCAAGGUGUACCACGUGUCCCAGAGUCCCCUGACGGACACCGCCAUCGACGCCGCCGCCGCCGCCACUGCCGCCGCCCCCCGGGACCCGGAGGUCCCUGAGGACGCCGCGGCCGCCAAGUUCCGGAUCAAGGCCCCGUUCCUGGAGCAGCCGCCCGCGCCGGGCGCCGGGGACCGGCCGCCCUCCCGGCUGGACCUCCCGCUUGUGCAGGCCGCCGUCAGCCCCAGCCAGACCGUUAUCCGCAAGUCCCAGGCGAGGCACGCGGGCGGCAGGGGGGCGCCGCCGGACAGGGGCCACCCCCGGGGAUCCCACUUCCGGAGAACAGCGAGUUUCCACGAAGCCAAGCAGGCCCGGCCCUUCCGGGAGCGCAGCCUGUCCGCCUUGACCCCCCGGCAGGCCCCCGCCUACGCCUCCAGGACCCGGACCUGGGAUCAGGCGGAAGACCGAGUCCGGCCGCAGAGUCGAGGCGCUGCCCCGUUUCCAGAGAAACCCGACCAUUGCCAAGGGGCAGGUGGGACCAGCGGUCUGCUGAGCCCUCUGCCCAAACCCCACGCCUCGGGGCAGCCGACCAGGAAACCAGACCUGGGGGAUCGCCAGGUAGGAUUCGUGGCAGGAGGUGAGAGAACAGAGCCCCACCGGGCUCGGAGGGGACCAUCCCCCAGUCACAGAAGUGUCUCAAGGAAGCAGCCAUCCCCCACGGCCCCCAAAGAGAGCUACCAGAGGGUCAGCCCCCUGAGCCCUUCCCAGAGUAGAAAAGACAAGUGUCAGAGCUUUCCCGCCCACCCCGAGUUCGCCUUCUAUGACAAUACGUCAUUUGGCCUCACUGAGUCCGAGCAGAGGAUGCUGGACCUGCCAGGAUAUUUUGGGUCAAAUGAAGAGGAUGAAACCACAAGCACGCUGAGUGUGGAGAAGCUGGUCAUCUAG
This 2601-nucleotide long non-coding RNA is filed under the name Sus scrofa (pig). RNAcentral's name for it is "lncRNA (ENSSSCG00065009106.1)". Lineage: Eukaryota; Metazoa; Chordata; Mammalia; Artiodactyla; Suidae. The record is from RNAcentral.